This 428-nucleotide ribosomal RNA is filed under the name uncultured bacterium. RNAcentral's name for it is "bacterial SSU rRNA". It matches the Rfam family "Bacterial small subunit ribosomal RNA", at positions 67 to 501 of the family's 1533-position model. The record is from RNAcentral.
UGGAAUGAGGACUUCGGUCCGAGUGAAGUCGAGGAAAGCGGCGGACGGGUGAGUAACGCGUGGGUAACCUGCCCCAUACAAUGGGAUAGCCACUGGAAACGGUGAUUAAUACCAUAUAAUGCUUUAGAAUCGCAUGAUUCAGAAGCUAAAGAUUUAUCGGUAUGGGAUGGACCCGCGUCUGAUUAGCUAGUUGGUGAGGUAACGGCUCACCAAGGCGACGAUCAGUAGCCGACCUGAGAGGGUGAUCGGCCACACUGGAACUGAGACACGGUCCAGACUCCUACGGGAGGCAGCAGUGGGGAAUAUUGCACAAUGGGCGCAAGCCUGAUGCAGCAACGCCGUGUGAGUGAUGAAGGCCUUCGGGUCGUAAAACUCUGUCCUAUGGGAAGAAAACAAUGACGGUACCAUAGGAGGAAGCCCCGGCUAAC